RNAcentral lists this ribosomal RNA (332 nucleotides) under uncultured Candidatus Sumerlaeota bacterium. RNAcentral describes it as "bacterial SSU rRNA". It matches the Rfam family "Bacterial small subunit ribosomal RNA", at positions 29 to 351 of the family's 1533-position model. Lineage: Bacteria; Candidatus Sumerlaeota. The record is from RNAcentral.
AACGAACGCUGGCGGCAGGCUUCAUACAUGCAAGUCGCGCGAUUAAAGCCCCUUCGGGGGUAUAUAAAGCGGCGAACGGGUGAGUAACAGGUGGAUAAUCUGCCUUUCGGUGGGGGAUAACGGCUGGAAACGGCCGCUAAUACCGCAUGUGGUUGCCGGGGCGCAGGCCUUGGCAAAGAAAGGGGCUUCACGGCCCUGCCGAAAGAUGAGUCCGCCCCCCAUUAGCUAGUUGGUGAGAUAAUAGCCCACCAAGGCUUCGAUGGGUAGCCGAGCUGAGAGGUUGAUCGGCCACACUGGGACUGAGAUACGGCCCAGACACCUACGGGUGGCUG